Molecule: ribosomal RNA, 386 nt
Filed under: uncultured bacterium
Lineage: Bacteria
Description: bacterial SSU rRNA
Rfam family: Bacterial small subunit ribosomal RNA
Source: RNAcentral
GACGAACGCUGGCGGCGUGCUUAACACAUGCAAGUCGAGCGGUAAGGCCCUUUCGGGGGUACACGAGCGGCGAACGGGUGAGUAACACGUGGGUGACCUGCCCUCAGCUCUGGGAUAAGCCUGGGAAACUGGGUCUAAUACUGGAUAUGACUCCACGGUGCAUGUCGUGGGGUGGAAAGCCCUGUGCGGCUGAGGAUGGGCCCGCGGCCUAUCAGCUUGUUGGUGGGGUGANGGCCUACCAAGGCGACGACGGGUAGCCGGCCUGAGAGGGCGACCGGCCACACUGGGACUGAGAUACGGCCCAGACUCCUACGGGAGGCAGCAGUGGGGAAUAUUGCGCAAUGGGCGGAAGCCUGCGCAGCGACGCCGCGUGGGGAUGACGGCCU